GAAAAAUGUGUAUAGCUAGUGUUUCAAGGUCACUGCAACUAGUUACAGAUUAUCUGUAAGAAGACUUCAGAGAUGAUAAAGGAUGCCCUAAUCUUCAGGAUGAAUUCCCAAGCACUCAAAUUUGUGAACAGGUAAUCCAAACUUUUUAAGGCUGCUUGUUUAGCACUCACUCAUCACUUGAACAUCAUUUUUUUUUUCUUUUUUGAGAAAGAAUCUUGCUCUGUUGCCUGGACUGGAGUGCAGUGAUGUGAUCUCAGCUCACUGCAACCUCCACCUCCCAGGUUCAAGUGAUCCUUCUGCCUCAGCCUCCUGAGUAGCUGGGACUACAGGCAUGUGCCACACAGAAUGCAAUUCCUCGUUGUCAAUGAAAUGAAAUGAGAAAAUUUCUCUUUUCACUCAAAUGGGCUAUACAUUUAUAUGAUCUAAAUUCCCAUAUUAACAAAAAAAAUUUUAGUUGUUUGCUUUCCAGUUAGGUUAGGAUAUUUCUUCUGUUUAAGUUGGGAUGUGCCAAUAAAUAGGGUUUCCCAUUGCAGCUCACAGGCAGAGAAAGUGAAACCGCGCUUGGUAGUCUUUUCAUCCGUAUCUGUUCAACAACAACAAAG
This 602-nucleotide long non-coding RNA is filed under the name Pan troglodytes (chimpanzee). Its description in RNAcentral is "long non-coding RNA NONPTRT015760". Lineage: Eukaryota; Metazoa; Chordata; Mammalia; Primates; Hominidae. The record is from RNAcentral.